CAACGUGGGUAACCUGCCCAAGAGAUCGGGAUAACACCCGGAAACAGAUGCUAAUACCGGAUAACAACAGAUGAUGCCUAUCAACUGUUUAAAAGAUGGUUCUGCUAUCACUCUUGGAUGGACCUGCGGUGCAUUAGCUAGUUGGUAGGGUAACGGCCUACCAAGGCGAUGAUGCAUAGCCGAGUUGAGAGACUGAUCGGCCACAUUGGGACUGAGACACGGCCCAAACUCCUACGGGAGGCAGCAGGC
This 249-nucleotide ribosomal RNA is filed under the name uncultured Lactobacillus sp. RNAcentral describes it as "partial 16S ribosomal RNA". It matches the Rfam family "Bacterial small subunit ribosomal RNA", at positions 113 to 354 of the family's 1533-position model. The record is from RNAcentral. Lineage: Bacteria; Bacillati; Bacillota; Bacilli; Lactobacillales; Lactobacillaceae.